RNAcentral lists this ribosomal RNA (253 nucleotides) under uncultured bacterium. RNAcentral's name for it is "partial 16S ribosomal RNA". It matches the Rfam family "Bacterial small subunit ribosomal RNA", at positions 524 to 776 of the family's 1533-position model. The record is from RNAcentral.
GACGAACCGUGCGAACGUUGUUCGGAUUCACUGGGCUUAAAGGGCGCGUAGGCGGCUUGCCAAGUCAGGGGUGAAAUCUUUCGGCUCAACCGGAAAAGUGCUUCUGAUACUGGCGGGCUGGAGGGGGGUAGGGGCAGAUGGAACUUCCGGUGGAGCGGUGAAAUGCGUAGAUAUCGGAAGGAACGCCGGUGGCGAAAGCGAUCUGCUGGACCCCUUCUGACGCUGAGGCGCGACAGCGUGGGGAGCAAACAGG